Molecule: ribosomal RNA, 443 nt
Filed under: uncultured bacterium
Lineage: Bacteria
Description: partial 16S ribosomal RNA
Rfam family: Bacterial small subunit ribosomal RNA
Source: RNAcentral
CCUACGGGCGGCAGCAGUGGGGAAUAUUGGGCAAUGGGCGCAAGCCUGACCCAGCAACGCCGCGUGAAGGAAGAAGGCCCUCGGGUUGUAAACUUCUUUUGUCAGGGACGAAACAAAUGACGGUACCUGACGCAUAAGCCACGGCUAACUACGUGCCAGCAGCCGCGGUAAUACGUAGGUGGCAAGCGUUAUCCGGAUUUACUGGGUGUAAAGGGCGGGUAGGCGGGAGAGCAAGUCAGAUGGGAAAUUCCAGGGCUCAACCGUGGAACUGCAUUUGAAACUGGUUUACUUGAGUGAGGGAGAGGCAGGCGGAAUUCCGUGUGUAGCGGUGAAAUGCGUAGAUAUACGGAGGAACACCAGUGGCGAAGGCGGCCUGCUGGACAGUAACUGACGCUGAGGCGCGAAAGCGUGGGGAGCAAACAGGAUUAGAUACCCGAGUAGUC